AUGCCGCGUGAGUGAAGAAGGCCUUCGGGUUGUAAAGCUCUUUUGUCAGGGAAGAAACGGUGAAGGCUAAUAUCCUUUGCUAAUGACGGUACCUGAAGAAUAAGCACCGGCUAACUACGUGCCAGCAGCCGCGGUAAUACGUACGGUGCAAGCGUUAAUCGGAAUUACUGGGCGUAAAGCGUGCGCAGGCGGUUUUGUAAGUUUGUCGUGAAAGCCCCGGGCUCAACCUGGGAAUUGCGAUGAAGACUGCUAGGCUUGAAUCUGGCAGAGGGGGGUAGAAUUCCACGUGUAGCAAUGAAAUGCGUAGAGAUGUGGAGGAACACCGAUGGCGAAGGCAGCCCCCUGGGUCAGGAUUGACGCUCAUGCACGAAAGCGUGGGGAGCAAACAGGAUUAGAUACCCUGGUAGUCCACGCCCUAAACGAUGUCUACUAGUUGUCGGGUUUUAAUUAACUUGGUAACGCAGCUAACGCGUGAAGUAGACCGCCUGGGGAGUACGGUCGCAAGAUUAAAACUCAAAGGAAUUGACGGGGACCCGCACAAGCGGUGGAUGAUGUGGAUUAAUUCGAUGCAACGCGUAAAACCUUACCUACCCUUGACGUGUACGGAAGACCCAAAAGAUUUG
This 623-nucleotide ribosomal RNA is filed under the name Massilia sp. Ri1Ps_4805. RNAcentral describes it as "bacterial SSU rRNA". It matches the Rfam family "Bacterial small subunit ribosomal RNA", at positions 394 to 1010 of the family's 1533-position model. The record is from RNAcentral. Lineage: Bacteria; Pseudomonadati; Pseudomonadota; Betaproteobacteria; Burkholderiales; Oxalobacteraceae.